GCUGUUGUUCCUUGGACCUCUGGCCGUGUGGCUCCUGCUGCUGCCUGGUGAGUCCCAGGCUGCGUCCUGAUGCUCGGGCUGCUGCCAGCCACUCUCCUCCUGUGGGAUGAACCAUCUGCUUACAAACUACUAGACCUACCAUGAAAACUGUCUAAAGGGACUGGCAAAAAAUUAGCUUCUUAACAGAGGCAGAUUUUUCUACUGCAAGUGAAGCAGAACUGUGUAAAGUAAGUACACACAGGCUGCAAAAGGGAUCCAUUGGUUGAUGUAGGAGGCAAGAACUGAGCACCUUGAGAGGACC
Chelonoidis abingdonii (Abingdon island giant tortoise) is the source of this 301-nucleotide long non-coding RNA. RefSeq lists it as uncharacterized. NCBI's taxonomy places the organism in Eukaryota, Metazoa, Chordata, Testudines, Testudinidae. The record is from RefSeq and is a predicted model, not a curated record.